CGAACGGGUGAGUAACGCGUGAGUAACCUGCCUUACACAAGGGGAUAGCCUUUGGAAACGAAGAAUAAUACCCUAUAAAACUAUAAAAGCACAUGCUAGAAUGGUCAAAGUGCUAGCGGUGUAAGAUGGACUUGCGUCUGAUUAGCUAGUUGGUGAGGUAAAAGCUCACCAAGGCAACGAUCAGUAGCCGGCUUGAGAGAGUGUACGGCCACAUUGGGACUGAGACACGGCCCAG
Molecule: ribosomal RNA, 235 nt
Filed under: uncultured Eubacteriales bacterium
Lineage: Bacteria; Bacillati; Bacillota; Clostridia; Eubacteriales
Description: uncultured Clostridiales bacterium partial 16S ribosomal RNA
Rfam family: Bacterial small subunit ribosomal RNA
Source: RNAcentral